This 85-nucleotide transfer RNA is filed under the name Calditrichota bacterium. Its description in RNAcentral is "Calditrichaeota bacterium tRNA-Leu". It matches the Rfam family "tRNA". Rfam says of the family: Transfer RNA (tRNA) molecules are approximately 80 nucleotides in length. Their secondary structure includes four short double-helical elements and three loops (D, anti-codon, and T loops). Further hydrogen bonds mediate the characteristic L-shaped molecular structure. tRNAs have two regions of fundamental functional importance: the anti-codon, which is responsible for specific mRNA codon recognition, and the 3' end, to which the tRNAs corresponding amino acid is attached (by aminoacyl-tRNA synthetases). tRNAs cope with the degeneracy of the genetic code in two manners: having more than one tRNA (with a specific anti-codon) for a particular amino acid; and 'wobble' base-pairing, i.e. permitting non-standard base-pairing at the 3rd anti-codon position. The record is from RNAcentral. Lineage: Bacteria; Pseudomonadati; Calditrichota.
GCCGGAGUGGUGGAAUUGGUAGACGCCAGGGACUUAAAAUCCCUUGCACUUUUUGUGCGUGCCGGUUCAAGUCCGGCCUCCGGCA